GAACGCUGGCGGCGUGCCUAACACAUGCAAGUCGAACGGAGUCCAGCCUUUAAGACCUUCGGGUCAAAGAGGGGAAGACUGAGUGGCGGACGGGUGAGUAACACGUGGGCAACCUGGCUCAUAGAGGGGGAUAACAGAGAGAAAUUUCUGCUAAUACCGCAUAAGCACACACUGCCGCAUGGCAGAGGGUGAAAAGAGAAUCGCUAUGAGAUGGACCCGCGUCUGAUUAGCCAGUUGGCAGGGUAAGAGCCUACCAAAGCGACGAUCAGUAGCCGAUCUGAGAGGAUGAACGGCCACAUUGGGACUGAGACACGGCCCAAACUCCUACGGGAGGCAGCAGUGGGGGAUAUUGCACAAUGGGGGGAACCCUGAUGCAGCGACGCCGCGUGAGUGAAGAAGUAUUUCGGUAUGUAAAGCUCUAUCAGCAGGGAAGAUAAUGACAGUACCUGAAUAAGAAGCCCCGGCUAACUACGUG
Molecule: ribosomal RNA, 475 nt
Filed under: uncultured bacterium
Lineage: Bacteria
Description: partial 16S ribosomal RNA
Rfam family: Bacterial small subunit ribosomal RNA
Source: RNAcentral